Molecule: transfer RNA, 75 nt
Filed under: Candidatus Nomurabacteria bacterium RIFCSPHIGHO2_01_FULL_36_23
Lineage: Bacteria; Candidatus Nomuraibacteriota
Also listed under: 2 other names
Description: tRNA-Asp
Rfam family: tRNA
About the family: Transfer RNA (tRNA) molecules are approximately 80 nucleotides in length. Their secondary structure includes four short double-helical elements and three loops (D, anti-codon, and T loops).
Source: RNAcentral
GCGGCUGUAGUUCAACGGUAGAACGCUCCCCUGUCACGGGAGAGGUAGUGGGAUCAACACCCAUCAGCCGCGCAA